This 85-nucleotide non-coding RNA is filed under the name unclassified sequences. The record is from RNAcentral.
UAGUAACUGCCACCGGGUAGUGUGCGUAAGCAUAUUGUACAUAUCAUUAGGUCUUAGAAGAUAUGUAGAGUAUGCUUUUUCUUUU